CCUAACCGACGAAGGGGGGGCGUCUACCACGGUGUGGUCAAUGACUGGGGUG
This 52-nucleotide ribosomal RNA is filed under the name uncultured bacterium. Its description in RNAcentral is "partial 16S ribosomal RNA". The record is from RNAcentral.